AAGUGCGAGCGGAGAGAGGUAGCUUGCUACUGAUCUUAGCGGCGGACGGGUGAGUAAUGCUUAGGAAUCUGCCUAUUAGUGGGGGACAACAUUUCGAAAGGAAUGCUAAUACCGCAUACGUCCUACGGGAGAAAGCAGGGGAUCUUCGGACCUUGCGCUAAUAGAUGAGCCUAAGUCGGAUUAGCUAGUUGGUGGGGUAAAGGCCUACCAAGGCGACGAUCUGUAGCGGGUCUGAGAGGAUGAUCCGCCACACUGGGACUGAGACACGGCCCAGACUCCUACGGGAGGCAGCAGUGGGGAAUAUUGGACAAUGGGCGCAAGCCUGAUCCAGCCAUGCCGCGUGUGUGAAGAAGGCCUUAUGGUUGUAAAGCACUUUAAGCGAGGAGGAGGCUACUUUAGUUAAUACCUAGAGAUAGUGGACGUUACUCGCAGAAUAAGCACCGGCUAACUCUGUGCCAGCAGCCGCGGUAAUACAGAGGGUGCAAGCGUUAAUCGGAUUUACUGGGCGUAAAGCGCGCGUAGGCGGCUAAUUAAGUCAAAUGUGAAAUCCCCGAGCUUAACUUGGGAAUUGCAUUCGAUACUGGUUAGCUAGAGUGUGGGAGAGGAUGGUAGAAUUCCAGGUGUAGCGGUGAAAUGCGUAGAGAUCUGGAGGAAUACCGAUGGCGAAGGCAGCCAUCUGGCCUAACACUGACGCUGAGGUGCGAAAGCAUGGGGGAGCAAACAGGAUUAGAUACCCUGGUAGUCCAUGCCGUAAACGAUGUCUACUAGCCGUUGGGGCCUUUGAGGCUUUAGUGGCGCAGCUAACGCGAUAAGUAGACCGCCUGGGGGAGUACGGUCGCAAGACUAAAAACUCAAAUGAAUUGACGGGGGCCCGCACAAGCGGUGGNAGCAUGUGGUUUAAUUCGAUGCAACGCGAAAGAACCCUUACC
This 929-nucleotide ribosomal RNA is filed under the name Acinetobacter pittii. RNAcentral's name for it is "bacterial SSU rRNA". It matches the Rfam family "Bacterial small subunit ribosomal RNA", at positions 59 to 975 of the family's 1533-position model. The record is from RNAcentral. Lineage: Bacteria; Pseudomonadati; Pseudomonadota; Gammaproteobacteria; Moraxellales; Moraxellaceae.